CCCGCUCAGAAACUCAAAGGAAUUGACGGGGGCCCGCACAAGCGGUGGAGCAUGUGGUUUAAUUCGAUGAUACGCGAGGAACCUUACCUGGGCUCAAAUGUAUGUUGACGUAUUCUGAAAGGGAUACUUCUUCGGACAAUAUACAAGGUGCUGCAUGGUUGUCGUCAGCUCGUGCCGUGAGGUGUCGGGUUAAGUCCCAUAACGAGCGCAACCCCUAUCAUUAGUUGCCAUCAGGUCAAGCUGGGGACUCUAAUGAAACUGCCUACGCAAGUAGUGAGGAAGGUGGGGAUGACGUCAAAUCAGCACGGCCCUUACGUCCAGGGCUACACACGUGCUACAAUGGCCGGUACAAAGGGCAGCUACCUGGUGACAGGAUGCUAAUCUCAAAAGCCGGUCUCAGUUCGGAUCGGAGUCUGCAACCCGACUCCAUGAAGUUGGAAUCGCUAGUAAUCGCGCAUCAGCAUGGCGCGGUGAAUACGUUCCCGGGCCUU
Molecule: ribosomal RNA, 491 nt
Filed under: uncultured Sphingobacteriales bacterium
Lineage: Bacteria; Pseudomonadati; Bacteroidota; Sphingobacteriia; Sphingobacteriales
Description: bacterial SSU rRNA
Rfam family: Bacterial small subunit ribosomal RNA
Source: RNAcentral